UCUGUGCCCUGCCCCCAGAGGUGGAGCCUACAGAGGCAGGCAGGACUCCUUGAGCUGUGGUGGGCUGGGCCCAGUUGGAGCUUCCCGGCUGCUUUGUUUACCUAAGCAAGCCUGGGCAAUGGCGGGCGCCCCUCCGCCAGCCUCACUGCCGCCUUGCAGUUUGAUCUCAGACUGCUGUGCUAGCAAUCAGCGAGACUCCGUGGGCGUAGGACCCUCCGAGCCAGGUGCCGGAUAUAAUCUCGUGGUGCGCCGUUUUUUAAGCCCGUCCGAAAAGCGCAAUAUUCGGGUGGGAGUGACCCGAUUUUCCAGGAGGGGGAGGAGCCAAGAUGGCCGAAUAGGAACAGCUCCGGUCUACAGCUCCCAGCCUGAGCGACGCAGAAGACGGGUGAUUUCUGCAUUUCCAUCUGAGUGAACAUAGAUUCCUUCAGUAAAUAUUGGGAAAACAUUUGCUUCAGGCCCAUUACUGGGUACCGCUUUGAUACAGAGGACACACCAAGGAACAAGACAGAUAGGACCUCUGCCUCUGGUAAGUUUGCAUUCCAGAGGGAGGAGAAGACAAUAAGCAAGCAAGCCAUCAAGACCACGUCAGAUGAGACGAAUAAAGUCAGACAGCUUCCAAGGAGUGGAUGCUUAUGGAGAGAUCACAUGGAGCCUUGUAGCUGAUUUAUAAUCUCAUGGUCCUCAUUCAUACAUCAAACCCCUGAAGGCCUGGCAUUUUUAUCUCCCGACUCAACCUGCAUGCUACCAGAAGCUCGACAAAAUUACGCCUGUUUAGGAAAAGACUGGAGGAAUUCGUGGAGGAAUUCUUGGAGGGGGAACACUGAAGUCCGGUGAGUGGUCCUACAAAAACACUUGAAGGGAUUGAGUUCCAGCAAGAAGAGGAGAUUGGCAUCUAAUUUCCUGUUGGGUUAUGCUUAUGCAGCAGUCUCUGAUCUAUAUUCUGUGACUAUUGAGAAGGAGCAAAGGCUAUUGGAGGAAGGUGAUGGAGUGAAAAAGGGAAAGCAGUUGAGCUUCCUACAUGCUCCAUGCUGUGGCAAGAAAAAAAAUGUGUAAGUUUCCACUAGGUCAAGAGCUGUCUUUUUGCUUAUGGGGUCCAGCCCUAGAGGGGAGGAAGGCUCUUAGGGGCAAGAGAGUGAAGGGUGAACCAUGAGUGGGGCAGCUGUUUAGGUUAGAAGUUAGAAGUCUUCCUGAAUGGAACUCAUCUCCCAUGUUAGGAGCUGGGACUUCUGUAGACCCCAUUUGUGCCCCCACUAGAGAGUCAGUCCCUGGAUACCUGCCUUACCAGGGGCAUCCACUGGCAAGAGAUGAUUGCAGUAGCAUUUCAUCAAUAUGAGAAUUUAUGAAUUCAUGUCCUUCUUUCCACCAACACCCAUCCAAGGAAAAGGAGGUGUAAAAAAGGAGGAAGUAGAGAAGAGUGAAAAAGCUGACCUUGUUUUUCCUUCUCUCUCUUUUUUUUUUUUUUUUUGCGACAGAGUCUCGCUCUGUCACCCAGACUGGAGUGCAGUGGUGCGAUCUUGACUCACUGCAAGCUCUGCCGCCUGGGUUCACGCCAUUCUCCUGCCUCAGCCUCCCGAGUAGCUGGGACGGACUACAGGUACCUGCCACCACACCCGGCUAGUUUUUUUUUUUUUUUUUUGUAUUUUUAGUAGAGACGGGGUUUCACCGUGUUAGCCAGGAUGGUCUCAAUCUCCUGACCUCUUGAUCUGCCCGCCUCGGCCUCCCAAAGUGCUGGGAUUACAGGCGUAAGUCACCGCGCCUGGCCAAAAGCUGACCUUCUAUUCACUUCCUGUUUCAAGGAUGGGACAACUGGAGGGAUAGCUCUUUCAUCCUCCAGCAGGCUAGUCUGUGUAUGUUGUAAUAACAAUGGCAGAGGUUCAAGCUCUUUUCAAGCCACUGCCUGCAUCACAUCUGCUUGGAGAAAGCAAGUCACAUAGCUGAGCCUAGAAUCCAAACGAGAGGACACCACACAGUGACAUGAUCAAGGGCAUGAAUACAGAGCGGGUAAAGUACUGGGGUUGUUGGUGCAUCUACCACAGCGGUUGUGGAGGUAAGUGGAAGAGGUGGGACCAAACCAGGUUUGGCUUGCCUCUGAGGCCUGUGGUCUUCCUCUAGGCUCAGCUGGCUCCCUUGUACCCUUGGAUACAUCUUACAUGAUCAAGGCACGUGUUCCAAGUAGGACAAUGGCAUGACAUAUAGAUAAUACAAGGUCCAAAGCUAACAAAGUUGCUCUUUGGGUUCCCUCUCCCCUGGUGGGUUUCAUUUCCUGAGUGCAUUAGUGUCUUUGCUGCUUUGGCAGAGAGCUGAGCUGAUUCUUGGGAUUGUACUUCUGGAGACUGGCCAGUUUGCACAGUUCCAGCAUUGUCGGCCAGCUCAGACACCAUAUGGACCAGUGCUGUGGCAUUGGGUACCAGGCUUUCCUGGACAUCUUCGAAUUGGCCACUUUCCAUUGCCAAUGAGUAGAGUGCUCAAAAAAGUCAGUUAAAUUAGGCUUGGUAAAGGGACACUGCAUCUUUGAGUAAUGAGGUUGGGAAACAGGGAAAACAUUUUCCACUAGCUCAUGGCUCACUGUAUGGCAUUCCGGUUUCAUGACACUUCAUAAUAAAUCAUUGCUUAUCACUCACAUGGGAACGGAACAUGGCUCCAGUUAAGAUUCGUUAGUGAUUGUAAAGAAGCAACGUGGAUUGCUGUAUAUCAGGACUUCUUGAUCAUCUUCCUGUCCACUGUAGGCACUUUUCUAUCGUUAUAUUUACCGUAACUGUUGUUUAAAGCAUAAAUAAGUGGAAGGAAAGAGCACCCAAUAUGAAUCAUGAAAAUAAAUUUAUCUUAUUUAUGUGUUUAUGCAAGCAUUUGACAAUUAUUCUGCACAGCAGUUUGCAUCCAGGAUUGGUAGCUGCUGCAUUCAGAAAAGUUCCUUACACUUCAAGUUUCUCCCUCUCAUCCCUCCUGCCUUUAUUUUUUUAAUAAUGUGAAAUGCCAGCACAUUCACAUUCAAGGAUGGGAGGCCCUGGCAUGUGUUUUAUUCAAGUUUGAGGCAUCAGGUUACUGAACCACAUCGGCCUCAAUGCUCAUGACAGAGGCCUACCAGCAGACAUGUUCGUUACAUGCAAUUCAUUCAGAGCUUGGAGGAGCAAGGGACAGUGAUUUAGAAUAGAAAAAGGAGCCAGGGGUUGGGCUGGGGGGCCAAGUGGCAAAAUAAAACCUUUAAUUUAAAGAUGCUCCAGCUGGUUGGCCACUUGGGAUGAAUGAAGACUUUGGUAGGAAAGUCCUAGCUGUCCAAGCAGACCACCCUGGGAGGUUUGUGAUUUACACACCAAAGGUUACAGGGCUUGUGGACACUUUGACAUACCCUAGAAACUUCCCGGGCUAGAAUGUCCACGGAGAAAAGACUCAGCGGGUUUGCACAGUUGAGGAGGCUUUCAGUGUUUACUUACGGAUGAACAGGAAAACACAAGCCUGUCCUUGAAAUGCUGACAGGGCUCUCGUGAUUAACUCCUGCCAAAUUGAUUUCCCUAGCUCCCCUCCCACAUGUGUGGGCCUCUCUCAAUCCCUUCCUGGUGAUUCCCAGCACACUGCAGUACCGGCACUGGAGGACUCACUCUCUCCUUUUCUUGCCUGUUCCCUCGGUGCCCACUCCUCCCCUGUCCCCGGCACUCACCUAAUAGAGACACAGUUGGGAAAGGGGUAGCCACCAGUGGCUCUCUCACUAGUGUCCGUGGAGUUGAGAUGGAGCCGUGUGUGGAGGGAGAGCAUUGUCUGGCAGCAACUUUUGUUUCUUGAGAGUUUCCAGAAUAUGCUAGAAUGUGCGACAGAGAACCACGACUAAUCAGCAAACAGAGCUCAGAAUGGAAGAUGGAGAAGGUUCUCAGGGAAACUGGGGCUUCAGUGAACCAUGACCUGUCCAUUUCUUGGGCUGAAGAGGAGAUUUGUUCAAACAUAGGGUGACUUCUCAUCCUGGUUUUAGUCCCUUGUCCUGGGAAAUGCCUCAGUCCCGGGAAAACGAUGAUGGCUGGCCACCGUACUUAAACUCUAGAGAGACGAUUCCCAGGGACGCGUUCCCUCUCUCCAAACCUCUCUUCAGUGUUGAUGGUGCCUUGGUUCCCCCAUCCACUCUGCGAAUGCCCUUGGAACACACCAGGCCUAGCUCUCCACGGGUUUCAACAGGCAGUAGCCACCAUUGGUGGAGAGACUUCUGGGUCUCCAGCUUCAUGGGUACUUUCAACUAAUUAUCUCUGCUCCUCAGACCUACCCUACAAAGUGUGUAUAACUGGCUCAUUUUACGGAUGCAGAAACUAUGGCUCAGAGGGCAUUCAGUGAUUUGUUCAAGUUCUCCCAGCAGAGCUACUUGGGUGUGACUGCCAAGCCCCUUCCCUCAUGGAAAUGAUGUACAUUCACAGCCAUUAACUUGCUUUAAGCCUUAGAAUGACAUUUGAGCAUGGGUGAGACAGAUGAUACCUGAAGAUCGGAGAGGCUAGGUAGCUUAAUCAAGGCCACCCAGGGCUCAUGGAUGGAAGAAUCGGGGUUAAAGGAUUCUAAAUCUAUGUUGCCCUUUGCAUGGACAUCUCUUUCUUCCUUCAUGUGGAAGAAAAUGGAGGCCAGAAUUUCUUGAAUUUUUCUCCUAUUUAGAGUUGAUCAAGAUGCAGUCUAAACUGUCCCAGUUCAUAUUUGAAUAUUUUAAAGUGUGUUGAUUAUACAUUAAAACGGUACUUCCCAUGUUUUCUAAAUAUUUAAAAGAUCCCUCUUAAACAUCAUGGCAGAAAUAUUAAGCUCACUUAUCAGAGUUAUAAAGGCUUUUAAAAUAUAUAUAUUUCAUGGCAUUUCAAGCAAUUGAUCACACCAGUUGGGGGAAGACAAGAGGGUGACCACUUGUAUGCAGAAAAAAAAAUACUGGCAAGAAAAUGUGGCAAGUGCUUCCAGUAAAGACGCUUCUUUGGAAUUAAAUGGUGAUGGAUGUUUAGAAACCAGUCUCAAUGCAAAACUGUAAUUUUUGCAAAUGGUUGUGUCUUGGGAUGGCAUUAACAUACUCAGUGUUCUCUAUAGAAACGAGGACAUGCUAUUAAAAAAGCAUCCAGUUCCUGCACACAAACUGAAGUUUGAUCUUAAGCGGGAUGAGAUAUUACUGCAAAUUGGUUUUUACUUCAAAAACGGUUUAAUAACAAUCACGCCCAGAGCUCAAGUGCACACAAUGCAUCACUUAAUUUCAUCACAAACCUCUGCCGGCUUAAAAACAGAUAUCGAAACGGGGGAAUACAUAUUUGACAAUGUUGUUAAGGCAAGUUUGCUAACGCUUUUUGAACAACCUCCAACUGAGGCCUAAAUGCCGGCAAUAUCCAUAAACAACUCUAGAAUGCCCAAUUAGGGAGACAGAGACAUAGCGUCCUGUCAGGGAGAUUUGCAUGGCUAAGAGUCUGAGAUCACAGAGCGAUGAGCGAUCUCUCAGAGUGAUGGGGGGUUCGCAGACAGAUGACUAUCAUUACGAUAUUACGGGGACUCACACCUUCCCGAUUACUGGCAGGAUUCAUUAAUUACCACCGCAUUUCCCUAAUAGAAUCCGUGCACUGGCUUAUCAGCACCUUCCCUCUGUCUACCUAAGCCCCCGCUCAGCAGUCGAUCACCUAUGAAAAAUUAGACAGUGCAGCUUCGAGUGGCCUAUUUAAAGGAAAAAGAAAAAUGAAUAUGGGAAGAGGAGGGGGAAAGUGCAGAAAAGAGAAGUCCAAAGCAACAGACACAGCAUUCUUUUGACAUGGGGUUUGCUUUUCCUUUUCUUCCUGGAACUGGCAUGGAAGGAGAUUAGUGGCGGUUGCAGGGAAACAUACUGUGGAGAGUAUGGGUACAGAACUGUCUCCUUUACACACACGUACACACACUCAUACAUUCCCUGCUUAAAAUCUUCCUUUAUAUUUUCAACAAAUACAAAAUAAAAUCUAAAUUCCUGCUCAUUCCUCUAACCUCAUCUACUCCUUCUUACCAGCUAAGCCCCACCUACGCAGGCAUUCUUUCUGCCCAACCCAACACACUCAACUCAUGCCUGCCUCAGGAGCUUUGCACCUGCUGAUCCUUUUCUUUAGAAUAUGGCUUGGAUAGGUCAAAUUCGGCUUGCAAUUUGUUUCUGCACAGCCCUCGAGUGGAGAGAAUGUUUGCACAUUUAAAGGGUUAUAAUGAAAAGGCUGGGAGUGAUGGCUCACGCCUGUAACACCAGCACUUUGGGAGGCUGAGGCGGGUGGAUCAUUUGAGGUCAGGAGUUCAAGACUAGCCUGGCCAACAUGGCAAAACCCUGCCUCUAUUGAAAAUACAAAAAUUAGCCAGGCAAGGUGGCACAUGCCUGUAAUCCCAGCUACUCGGAGGCUGAGGCACAAAAAUUGCUUGAACUUGGGAGGCAGGGGUUGCAGUGAGCUGAGAUCGCACUACUACACUCCAGCCUGGGUGACAGAGCGAGACUCCAUCUCAAAAAUAAAAUACGAGGCUGGGCGUGGUGGCUCACGCUUGUAAUACCAGCACUUUGGGAGGCCGAGGUGGGCGGAUCAUGAGGUCAGGAGAUUGAGACAAUCCUUGCUAACAAGUGAAACCCCAUUUCUACUAAAAAUACAAAAAACAAAACAAAACAAAAAGAAAACCUAGCCGGUUUUGGUGGCGGGUGCCUAUAGUCCCAGCUACUUGGGAGGCUGAGGCAGGAGAAUGGCGGGAACCCAGGAGGUGGAGCUUGCAGUGAGCCGAGAUCGUGCCACUGCACUCCAGCCUGGGCAACAGAGUGAGACUCCAUCUCAAAAUAAAUAAAAUAAAAUAAAAUAAAAUAAAAUAAAAUAAAAUAAAAUAAAAUAAAAUAAACAAAUAAAUAAGGGUUAUAAUGGAAAAAAAAGGAAGAAGUAAAGCAGCAGAAGUUUUACUGAUGGCUGAGAUAGAACAACUUUCCAGAUCUUCUCAAGAUUGGCUUCUCACCACUCAGGUCUCCCAUGCCACCUCCCUAAGAAAUUGGGGAACACCCAAUCCAGAGCAGCCUGUAGUUACCUUCUACACUCAAUUGCUUAAUUUUUAUUGCAGCACUCAUCACCAAUAAACAUGUAUUUGUUGUAUUUGUUAGUCUGUGACAAUGGUUCUCAGCCCUGGUUGACCAUGUGAGUCACCUAGAAAGCUGCUAAAAAUACUGAUGCCCAAACCUGCCUCAGGGCCUUUGCACUUGCUGGUCUUGUUUUUUCCCAACGUGGCUUGAGUGGGUCAAAUGUAGUUCACAGCUUGUUUUUGUGCAGCUCUUGAGCUAAGAAAGUGUUUGCAUACUUAAAGAGUUGUAAUGAAAGAAAGGAGUGAGAAUAAUUUGAUUCAAUCAAUUGAGGUUGGGACCAGGCAUUGAUACACAUGUAUUUUUAAAG
RNAcentral lists this long non-coding RNA (7361 nucleotides) under Homo sapiens (human). RNAcentral describes it as "HSALNT0269029". The record is from RNAcentral. Lineage: Eukaryota; Metazoa; Chordata; Mammalia; Primates; Hominidae.